AGCGGCGGACGGGUGAGUAAUGUCUGGGAAACUGCCUGAUGGAGGGGGAUAACUACUGGAAACGGUAGCUAAUACCGCAUAACGUCUCAGGACCAAAGAGGGGGACCUUCGGGCCUCUUGCCAUCAGAUGUGCCCAGAUGGGAUUAGCUAGUAGGUGGGGUAACGGCUCACCUAGGCGACGAUCCCUAGCUGGUCUGAGAGGAUGACCAGCCACACUGGAACUGAGACACGGUCCAGACUCCUACGGGAGGCAGCAGUGGGGAAUAUUGCACAAUGGGCGCAAGCCUGAUGCAGCCAUGCCGCGUGUAUGAAGAAGGCCUUCGGGUUGUAAAGUACUUUCAGCGGGGAGGAAGGUGUUGAGGUUAAUAACCUCAGCAAUUGACGUUACCCGCAGAAGAAGCACCGGCUAACUCCGUGCCAGCAGCCGCGGUAAUACGGAGGGUGCAAGCGUUAAUCGGAAUUACUGGGCGUAAAGCGCACGCAGGCGGUCUGUCAAGUCGGAUGUGAAAUCCCCG
Molecule: ribosomal RNA, 515 nt
Filed under: Enterobacter sp.
Lineage: Bacteria; Pseudomonadati; Pseudomonadota; Gammaproteobacteria; Enterobacterales; Enterobacteriaceae
Description: bacterial SSU rRNA
Rfam family: Bacterial small subunit ribosomal RNA
Source: RNAcentral